ACGCUGGCGGCGUGCUUAACACAUGCAAGUCGAACGAGAAAGCUCCUUCGGGAGUGAGUACAGUGGCGAACGGGUGCGUAACACGUUGGUGACCUGCCUUGAGGAGGGGGACAACCGUGGGAAACCACGGCUAAUACCCCGGAUGUCUAAACUGUUAGAGGGUUUAGACUAAAACUUCGGUGCCUCAAGAGGGGCCUGCGGGCUAUCAGCUUGUUGGUGGGGUAAUGGCCUACCAAGGCUAAGACGGCUAGGGGGCGUGAGAGCGCGACCCCCCACAAUGGAACUGAGACACGGUCCAUACUCCUACGGGAGGCAGCAGUGAGGAAUAUUGCGCAAUGGGGGAAACCCUGACGCAGCAACGCCGCGUGAACGAUGAAGGCCUUCGGGUCGUAAAGUUCUUUUCUAAGGGAAGAUAGUGACGGUACCUUAGGAAUAAGUCCCGGCUAACUACGUGCCAGCAGCCGCGGUAAAACGUAGGGGGCGAGCGUUAUCCGGAUUUAUUGGGCGUAAAGCGCACGUAGGUGGCGCUGUAAGUUAGACGUGAAAGCUCUCGGCUCAACUGAGAGAGGUCGUUUAAAACUGCAGUGCUUGAGGUUAGAAGAGGAGAGCAGAAUUCCCGGUGUGGUGGUGGAAUGCGUAGAUAUCGGGAGGAAUACCAGUGGCGAAGGCGGCUCUCUAGUCUACACCUGACACUGAGGUGCGAAAGCGUGGGUAGCGAACGGGAUUAGAUACCCCGGUAGUCCACGCUGUAAACGAUGGAUACUAGGUGUAGGGGGUCAUUUAACCCCUCUGUGCCGAAGCAAACGCGUUAAGUAUCCCGCCUGGGGACUACGGCCGCAA
Molecule: ribosomal RNA, 840 nt
Filed under: uncultured organism
Description: bacterial SSU rRNA
Rfam family: Bacterial small subunit ribosomal RNA
Source: RNAcentral